UGGAGCAUCUUCAUGGACUGCAUGGCCACACUGUGGAAGGACUUGCAUCUGAAACUUCCCUUGCAUCUGUCCAAUUGUUAGAUCUUUAUCCAGCCUGUCAACACCAGCUAAAAGCAAAAGCUUUGGAGUUGGACAGCUUAGGAAGAGGUUAGAUAAGCCCCUGAACCAUCCAUCCCAGUACUUCUCUGUUUUCGCCAGCUCAAUUCGCCACGUGUAUAAGUGCUCCUUCUUUGUCUCAGUGUCAUCUUCCUUCUUCCUUUUGUUCACAGAGACUCCCCCUUCAUCAUCCUCUUCCUCCUCCUCCUCUUCUUCAAUAAUGCCCUCCACAAUGGCUUUAGGACCUUCAGGACUGGCAGCACCUUCACACUGUUUGACUUGACCGACCAUAGAAACUCUGGCAGAUUCCAGAUUUCUUAUUUGUCCACUUUUUACACUCCACUCAAUUGCAUUCUCAAGUGACUUGAACGUUUUGGGACGACUCCUUAAGAAGUUCUGCAUGCUGUUCAGUGCAUCCAUGGCUG
Molecule: long non-coding RNA, 521 nt
Filed under: Gallus gallus (chicken)
Lineage: Eukaryota; Metazoa; Chordata; Aves; Galliformes; Phasianidae
Source: RNAcentral